AACGAACGCUGGCGGCAUGCCUAACACAUGCAAGUCGAACGAGACCUUCGGGUCUAGUGGCGCACGGGUGCGUAACGCGUGGGAACCUGCCCUUAGGUUCGGAAUAACUCCCCGAAAGGGGUGCUAAUACCGGAUAAUGUCUUCGGACCAAAGAUUUAUCGCCUUUGGAUGGGCCCGCGUUGGAUUAGCUAGUUGGUAGGGUAAAAGCCUACCAAGGCGACGAUCCAUAGCUGGUCUGAGAGGCUGAUCAGCCACACUGGGACUGAGACACGGCCCAGACUCCUACGGGAGGCAGCAGUGGGGAAUAUUGGACAAUGGGCGAAGGCCUGAUCCAGCAAUGCCGGGUGAGUGAUGAAGGCCUUAGGGUUGUAAAGCUCUUUUACACGGGAUGAUAAUGACAGUACCGGGAGAAUAAGCUCCGGCUAACUCCGUG
Molecule: ribosomal RNA, 433 nt
Filed under: uncultured bacterium
Lineage: Bacteria
Description: partial 16S ribosomal RNA
Rfam family: Bacterial small subunit ribosomal RNA
Source: RNAcentral